This is a long non-coding RNA of Mytilus californianus (California mussel), 546 nucleotides long. RefSeq lists it as uncharacterized. The transcript has 4 exons. NCBI's taxonomy places the organism in Eukaryota, Metazoa, Mollusca, Bivalvia, Mytilida, Mytilidae. The record is from RefSeq and is a predicted model, not a curated record.
UGAAAAUAAUGACAGUCCACCUACAUCAUCCUCCGCUGUUUUAACUGUAUAUAAACUUGUGGUGGUUAUUGUUCUUAAUAAAAGAGGCAAAGUAACAUACUAACAUCAAAGAUCAAUAGACAGUGGAAAAUUCGUACAAGAAGAUGAAAACACUUCUAGUUUUGACGACACUUGUGAUAGUAGGACACUGCCUACUGGAAGAUAUUUUGGGGAACGUACCGGAAAAUAAAAGAUCGGUCCUCUCGAGAAGAAGUUACGAAAAUACACUCAACUUGGUGUUUUUAAUGGCUGAUGAUAAUAGGAAUGGUCUUUUGUCAGCUGAAGAAUUGGUUCAAGUUACAAAACCGAAAGACGGUUCGACACCAAUAGAGAAGGCGAGAGAGACUGUUCGACUAUGUGAUACCAAUGAUGAUGGCGAGUUAAGCAAAAAAGAAAUGCUGACAUUCUUGUAUUCCCAAUAGUUUGGACGAUCCAGGAAUGAAUGACGUUAGUUAUUGUUAAAGCUAUAUGAUUUUUAUUUCAUAUUAAAGAUGAUCACAAAAUAAA